Molecule: ribosomal RNA, 489 nt
Filed under: uncultured Alphaproteobacteria bacterium
Lineage: Bacteria; Pseudomonadati; Pseudomonadota; Alphaproteobacteria
Description: bacterial SSU rRNA
Rfam family: Bacterial small subunit ribosomal RNA
Source: RNAcentral
UUGGGAGCUCUCCCAUAUGGUCGACCUGCAGGCGGCCGCGAAUUCACUAGUGAUUAGAGUUUGAUCAUGGCUCAGAACGAAUGCUGGCGGCAGGCUUAACACAUGCAAGUCGAGCGCCCCGCAAGGGGAGCGGCGCACGGGUGAGUAACGCGUGGGAACAUGCCCUUAGGUACGGAAUAGCCUCGGGAAACUGGGAUUAAUACCGUAUAUGGAGAAAUCUGAAAGAUUUAUCGCCUAAGGAUUGGCCCGCGUUAGAUUAGCUUGUUGGUGAGGUAAUGGCUCACCAAGGCGACGAUCUAUAGCUGGUCUGAGAGGAUGAUCAGCCACACUGGGACUGAGACACGGCCCAGACUCCUACGGGAGGCAGCAGUGGGGAAUAUUGGACAAUGGGCGCAAGCCUGAUCCAGCCAUGCCGCGUGAGUGAUGAAGGCCUUCGGGUUGUAAAGCUCUUUAAUCGAAUUCCCGCGGCCGCCAUGGCGGCCGGGAGCA